This 194-nucleotide ribosomal RNA is filed under the name Alcanivorax sp. 5-2A. RNAcentral's name for it is "partial 16S ribosomal RNA". It matches the Rfam family "Bacterial small subunit ribosomal RNA", at positions 340 to 524 of the family's 1533-position model. Lineage: Bacteria; Pseudomonadati; Pseudomonadota; Gammaproteobacteria; Oceanospirillales; Alcanivoracaceae. The record is from RNAcentral.
GAGAUUGGAGGCAGCAGUGGGGAAUAUUGCACAAUGGGGGAAAGCCUGAUCCAGCCAUGCCGCGUGUGUGAAGAAGGCCUUCGGGUUGUAAAGCACUUUCAGUAGGGAGGAAGGCUUUGGGCUAAUACCCUGGAGUACUUGACGUUACCUACAGAAGAAGCACCGGCUAAUUUCGUGCCAGCAGCCGCGGUAAU